AGAGAAUAGAUACCCGGGUAGUCCACGCCGUAAACGUUGGGCACUAGGUGUGGUUCCAACCAACGGAAUCCGCGCCGUCGCUAAACGCAUUAAAGUGCCCCGCCUGGGGAGUACGGCGGCAACGCUAAAACUCAAAGGAAUUGACGGGGGCCCGCACAAGCAGCGGAGCGUGUUGCUUAAUUCGAUGCAACGCGAAGAACCUUACCUGGGUUUGACAUGCUCGGAAAAAGCCGUAGAGAUACGGUGUCCUUCGGGGCCGAGUACAGGUGGUGCAUGGCUGUCGUCAGCUCGUGUCGUGAGAUGCUGGGUUAAGUCCCGCAACGAGCGCAACCCUUAUCCUAUGUUGCCAGCACGUAAUGGUGGGGACUCGUGGGAGACUGCCGGGGUCAACUCGGAGGAAGGUGGGGACGACGUCAAGUCAUCAUGCCCCUUAUAUCCAGGGCUGCAAACACGCUACAAUGGCCGGUACAGAGGGCUGCAAGCUCGUGAGAGUGAGCGAAUCCCGCAAAGCCGGUCUCAGUUCGGAUUGAAGG
Molecule: ribosomal RNA, 533 nt
Filed under: uncultured bacterium
Lineage: Bacteria
Description: bacterial SSU rRNA
Rfam family: Bacterial small subunit ribosomal RNA
Source: RNAcentral